RNAcentral lists this long non-coding RNA (19833 nucleotides) under Triticum aestivum (bread wheat). RNAcentral's name for it is "long non-coding RNA (TAES_LNC021807)". The record is from RNAcentral. Lineage: Eukaryota; Viridiplantae; Streptophyta; Magnoliopsida; Poales; Poaceae.
AAAGUAACAUUUCCAUCAACCGAUGGCAAGACAAUAAUCCGCGGAUUGCAUAUAAUAUAUGUGUGUAUGUAUAGCCGGUGCUAUAAUUCUCAUAUGCAUCCUCCUCGACCUACGUUGGUAGGUGCUUACAUACAUAUGCUCAUAUAUUCACAUACGAGUAGUACGAGAAGUAAAACCGAGAAAGCAGAGCUGCCGACAAAUGUGAACUAACAUGGCAUGUAUAUGCGUUACUUCAACUUGCACUUUAGGCCUUGCCAGAUUCCUCGCAGCCUGGUGGCCUGAAGGCAAUGAAGCUGACGCACUGCACCUGGCGCAUGUUGUCGAAGCCGAUGACGCGGACAUAGGCAUCAGGGUACUCCUUCUUGACCUCCUCCACCUCGCUGAGCACCUGCGUUGCGUCGGUGCACCCGAACAUAGGCAGCUUCCACAUUGUCCAGUAUCGACCGUCGUAGUAGCCGGGGGAGCUGUUGUGCUCACGGAAGACGAAGCCAACCUUGCUGAACUCGAGGCAGGGCACCCACUUGGAGCGGAUCAGGUAGUCGACCUGCUUUAGGAGGGCCUCCGUGGAGAGGGGUGGCAAGUAAGACAGGGUCUCGAACUUCUUGAUGCCCUCAAUCGGCCACACCUGAAUAGAUGGAAUGAACACAAUUGAUCAACACUUGGUGCUUAAAGAAAGACCUGGCCAUAAGUCAAAAAUUACUCCUUAUGGUCUGCCCAUACAUUGUGGGGGGUCUCCACAAGCAAGAAGGCUCAAGGGCAGCAGCUCUUGCUUCAGGUUCAGGGUAGUGUACGGGCAUUAAAAAUGAUAUUAUCUAGUACACAUUGCGAUAAAAUCAAUUUCCGUUCACAAAGUUUAUGAGUUAAAUAUUCCUACACAUGUGAACCUGCUUACGGACUACAUACAUUGUGAUGCACCAUCUUAGUUUACUUUGGCCUGGUGUGUGGGUUACACAUCCUAAUUAAGGAUAGCUUUGGCUAUGUACAGUGGAAAUAUCCGAUAAAUUAAUCAACUGUGCCGACAAGAAUAUUCGUGUGAGCUUAGUGUUCGUCCUACCUCGCAAAAAUAAUACUCUGUCCGAUACAAAAUAAGUGUUGCUGUUUUGUAUUAAGAUUACCGAGGAAGUAAUUAGUGUUCAUACCUGCAUGCAUCUGAUCCUUCCGCCAUUGCUGACGCUGCUGAGACCGGCGCUGCCGGAGCGGCGGCUGACGGGGAGGCCGGCGGUCGACUUGAGCCCCUGGAAGGGCGCGACGGUGGUGGCGGACGAUGCCAUCACGGCUGGGGCCAUGGCACGUGAAUUGCUAGGUGGGGAGGCGAUAGCUAGCUUGGCUACACCCCUCAUCCCGCUCCGGUAUAUAUAUCACCGUAUGCGCAGCACCGCCCCUUUCCAACAAGAUUUCCAGCCCUCAUCGGUGGCCGUCCUUUGCCUGCUGCAAGGCGCCUUAUCCCUCUGGAUAAGCGGAAGAGGGGUGGCCCUCCGAUGCAUUGCGUGUGACUGCUGCAUGGGCAAACGAAAUCUACAUCACUCCGAUUGCUAAUAAGCAAUACAAUGAUUAUUCCAUCGUUAGAUUAGCUCCAUUUUGAUUUAUUUUGUUUCCGGAAAGUUACUCUCCCAGAAAUUACUCCUCCCAAGAUUUGUGUCGAGGUAAUUGUAUCAGUGGCGCUUGAACUUGCCAUCGAUGUUCAUUUUAGUGCCUGAGCUUGAAAAAUACGUUCAACUGGUUAUAUAUAUAUGGCACUCUUGUUCAAAUAUGGUUCAAACACGUUUGGGUAUGUAUGUGUUGCUGACUAGGCAUGCCAGCAUGGCACGGAGCCCACUUGCAGUUUCGGGACAGGCUCACUUGCAAAGUAUACACUCCAUUGCAAUUGGGUCCCACAUGUCAGGGCACAACAACAAAGAAAAACUAGCCGUGGUUGUCAAGGCUCCCACUAAUUUUGAUUUAUUUUAUUUCCAAAAGGUUACUGCUCCCGAAAAUUACUCAUCGAAGAUUUGUGUUUGUGUCUCACUCCAUGUGGUUGGGGAGGAUAACAUUGUGCCCGUCCGUAUUAGAAAUGAUGGCAACUAGCAAGGGGGAAGGGAUGCGGGGCGGAGCGACAAAUGAACGAUGGAGAUGCACCCGGGGCCAGUAUAAGUAGAAGGUUGGCUUCGCGGAUCGCCGCGCACUAUCUGAUGAGGUGUAUCCAUCCACCUGGCGCCUGGGGUAGGCUCAUCAGCACCGAACAAGCUACAAUCCAUCAGAAUCCUAAUGCAAGAUGCUCACCUGCCAAACACAACCGACGUGACAAACCACUCGGACGAUACCAAGUCACUCGAACGGGUCAAGUACACUAGGUCAUUCGGAUGGAGUUCAUCAUUGUUUGAAUACAUGAAACACUCAGAGGCACGAAGUGAUCAUGCGGAGAAGGCACUGAUACGUCUCCAACGUAUCUAUAAUUUAUGAAACAUUCAUGUUAUUAUAUUAUCUGUUUUGAAUGAGUAUGGACUUUAUUAUACACUUUUAUAUUACUUUUGGAACGAACCUACUAACCGGAGGCCCAUACCAUAUUCUUGUUUUCUUGCCUAUUUCAGUGUUUCGAAGAAAAGGAAUAUCAAACGGAGUCCAAAUGGAAUGAAACCUUUGGUAACUUUGUAGCGACCAGGCCUCAAACAGUCUGAUCUCUGUGCAUCAGUGUCAUCCCUGGAUCGGUAAUGCUGACACGCACAGUACUUGAAGGAUUUAUAACAGAGUAGCAAUCACAUAUUUAUUACAUCGAAUGUCUCAAAAGAGAACUUAUUACAAUAAAUAUGGCUUAAGGCCAUCUAAUAACGAUAACAGCGGAAGACUUGGAAGAUAAGCGAGUCCAUCAACUCCAGCGGCAUCACUGAGUAUAAUACCACGACCUAAGGCAUCUUACUCAUCGUCUGAAAAGUCUGCAACAUGAACGUUGUAGCCCGAAAACGGGUCAGCACAUGGAGUAUGCUGGCAAUGUAACACAUAGAGAGUAAUGAACAGAAUAACGCUAUCACUACAUGCAUAUAUGGUUGGUGGAAAGCUCUAUGGUUACAGUUUUGCAUAAAGCCAUUUUUUCCUACUGCAAAGGAAUAAAUUUUAUUUAACUAUCAUGGUGGUUGUUAAACAUUGAGACGGUUCACCCAACUCAAUCCCAAUUAAGCAACAUCAUUAAUCCAACAAGAUUAAAUUAAGUAACAUGAUGAGAUUCACAUGAAAAUCUAGGUACUAGAUACUCAAAACGUCCAUAACCGGGGACACGGCUCACUAUGAUUAGUUUGUACACUCUGCAGAGGUUUACGCACUUUUCCCCACAAGACUCGAUCUUCUUCGUUGGAUUUCUCGCACUACAUGGUGUUUGAGAAACGGAUGACCGAGACACAAUCUUUCAGAAGUGUUAGCACCUUACGAUGGGUAGACCGUACCACCUACAUCCCCUACAUCUACUGGUCUACCACUGUAAGAGGUCACACAACUUACUCAACUAUGCCAGAGCCCAUAUUGGCAUGUGGCUGCACAGGGAAGUUUCUAGCAUGAAUAAUCUCAUGAUCCAUUUGAGCCUGGGUGGCGGUCCAUAGGAAAAUCACACGGUACCCCGGGAUUUCCAAAAAUACAAGCAACACUGGGUUCCCCAGGUGCCUCAAUCCACCCAGAUGUGAAUUUAAGUUGCCAGCUUAAAUAAACAAUUAAUUAACAAUCUCACAUCUGUCAUGGAUACACUCACCCAAUCCACGUCUACUAGCAUAGCAUAGCAAUAUAAGCAAACGUAGAAGUAACUCCCAAAGGUUUGAUAAUAAAACAGGAAAUAGGUACUACCUCAUCUACUUACCAAAACCCACAUAUUAAUCACAUCCUAACCAUGCAAUUGUUUGAAGAUUGAUCUAAUGCAAUAAAACUGGGUAGUAAGGAGGUAUGAUCAAAGUGUUAUUUGCCUUGCUGAUGAUCCGUGAAACCUAGAGACUCGUAGUAGCACGCGGCGCACUUCGGUACUCUAUCGUAAACAAACAAGCAUACAAUAAGCACUCAUCUAAUGCACAGGUAAAACUCAAAUAAAAGAUCUAACCAGAAAGUUCAACUUAAGAACUCAGGUUUGCAAAAAGAAUCAAAUCAAACGAAGCAACAAAAAUCAAACGGCGGAAGAAACGGGAUUUAUCUUACUAAUCUGGACCUAAGUCAAACUUUUACAAUAGCAAAAACUUGUUUCAGUUGGUUAAAUGGAAAGAGAAUUUCGAGACGAAACUAUAGGCGCUUGAAUCGCCUGAUUCCGAUAAACGAGUGAAAAGUUAUACUAGAACGAUAAUCGGAUCAGAAAUCGCGAUCAGAAAUAAUCACGGAAAAUCCGAGAAAAAGAAAAUGGACGAACAGGCUAACGAAUGAACGUUCGUUGUCUGCGGCUAAACGACGAAAACCGUUCGUUAAAACGAACAUACGGACGAACAUCCGCAAAAUAGACUAAAUCGGAAAAAAAACCGCUCUAAAAAAAUAAAAAAACGCAUCUCGAUUUUCGAAUAAAAACCGAACGGUUUNNNNNNNNNNNNNNNNNNNNNNNNNNNNNNNNNNNNNNNNNNNNNNNNNNNNNNNNNNNNNNNNNNNNNNNNNNNNNNNNNNNNNNNNNNNNNNNNNNNNNNNNNNNNNNNNNNNNNNNNNNNNNNNNNNNNNNNNNNNNNNNNNNNNNNNNNNNNNNNNNNNNNNNNNNNNNNNNNNNNNNNNNNNNNNNNNNNNNNNNNNNNNNNNNNNNNNNNNNNNNNNNNNNNNNNNNNNNNNNNNNNNNNNNNNNNNNNNNNNNNNNNNNNNNNNNNNNNNNNNNNNNNNNNNNNNNNNNNNNNNNNNNNNNNNNNNNNNNNNNNNNNNNNNNNNNNGCGGGGUCGCGGCGGUAGCGGCGGCGGCGCGGGUUAGAGUUAGGGUUAGGGUUUCGGUGGCGGCGGCGGGUGGGCUGGCGGUGGGCUGCGGGUGUCGGGGACGCGGCUUAAAAGGCCGAGGCCGGCGGGAGUCCGGGUCGCCCACGGCCCUUAGGUCGGUUAGCUUUUUUAAAAAUAAAUUUGGACGCAAAAAAACAAAUAAAAGAAAUACUAAACGGACUCCAAAAAUCCCGAAAUAAAUUUUCCCCGUCCUCUAAAAAUAAGCCGAACAAGAUGAAUAUUUAUUUGGGGUCUAAAUAUAGUUCUGGAAAACAAUCUUUUUUCCUAAAUUCAAAUAAAAUAGCGAAAAACUCCGAAAUAAAAUCUUAUUUGAUUUUUCUAUUAAAUCCUCAAUACUUCUUUAUUUUGGGAAAGUCAUUUUAUUCCCUCUCUCUUAUUUUUUAUUAGAAAUAUUUGAAGACAAAAUAAAUAAAAUCAAAUGAUCAUAUUUUCAAAUUUUGAGAAAACUCAAAUAUGAAAAUAACGAAAUCCCCAACUCUCUCCGUGGUCCUUGAGUUGCGUAAAAAUUUUAGGAUCAAGGCAAAAAUGCAAUAAAAUAUGAUAUGCAAUGAUGAUCUAUUGUAUAAUAUUCCAAAUUGAAAAUUUGGGAUGUUACAAACCUACCCCCCUUAAGAUGAAUCUCGCCCUCGAGAUUCGGGUUGGCUAAAAAAUAGGUGAGGGUGGUCCUUCAGUAAAUCUUCUUCUCGCUCCCAGGUGGCUUCAUCUUCGGUAUGGUGGCUCCACUGAACUUUGCAAAACUUGAUAACCUUGCUACGGGUGACUCAGCUGGCAUACUCGAGAAUCUUCACUAGUUUCUCCUCAUAGGUCAAAUCAUUAUCCAGCUGAAUCGCUUCCAGUGGCACCGUAUCUCUCAACGGUAUAUCAGCCAUCUCUGUGUGGCACUUCUUCAACUGAAAAACGUGAAACACAUCAUGAACUCCUGACAAUCCUUCGGGCAAUUCCAACUUGUAAGCAACUUCUCCCAUACGCUCCAAAACUUUGCAUGGUCCUACAAAACGUGGUGCUAACUUUCCCUUAACUCCAAAACGCUUAACUCCUUGAAGUGGGGACACACGAAGAUAAACUCUGUCUCCGACUUCGUAGACUGUCUCCUUGCGUUUAGAAUCUGCAUAGCUCUUCUUCCUAGACUGGGCUACCUUGAGCCUAUCGCGAAUCAUCUUCACCUUCUGUUCAGACUCUUUGAUCAAAUCUGGCCCAAACAACUGACGGUCUCCAAUUUUGUCCCACAACAACGGUGUCCUGCACCUCCUUCCAUACAAAGCUUCGAAAGGGGCCAUCUUCAAACUGGAUUGGUAACUGUUGUUGUAAGAGAAUUCUGCAUACGGCAAAUUCCCGUCCCAACUAGAUCCAUAAUCUAGCGCACAAGCUCUCAGCAUGUCCUCCAGAAUCUGAUUGACUCUCUCGGUCUGUCCAUCUGUCUGUGGAUGAAAGGAUGUACUGAACUCUAGCCUGGUACCCAAAGUUUUGUGCAACUGAUUCCAGAACUUUGAGGUAAACUGGGUUCCUCUAUCUGAUACAAUGCUCCUCGGAACUCCAUGCAGACAUACGAUCCUGGUCAUGUAUAUCAUUGCCAACUUAGCACUGGUUUAAGUGGUCUUUACUGGGAUGAAAUGAGCUACCUUCGUCAAACGAUCGACUACAACCCAUAUUGAGUCAUAGCCGGAACGAGUCAUGGGCAAUCCCGUGAUAAAGUCCAUGCCUAGCUUAUCCCACUUCCAUUCGGGUAUUGGCAAUGGUUGUAGCAAUCCUGCUGGCUUCUGAUGCUCUGCCUUCACUCUCUGACAUACAUCACAUACUGCUACAUAUUCCGCAAUAUCCUUCUUCAUUCCGGUCCACCAGAAAAUGUCCUUCAAAUCCAGAUACAUCUUGGUAUUUCCUGGGUGAAUCGAAUAUGGCGAAUCAUGGGCCUCUUGCAGAUCAACUUCCUGAUCUCCGGGUCAUUAGGCACAUACACGCGGUCUUCAAACCAUAAGGUAUCGUGCUCAUCCUCACGAAAACCUUUAGCUUUUCCUUUGCUCAUCUUCUCCUUUAUCUCGGCAAUCUCUUUGUCUGUCUUCUGAGCUUCUAUGAUCUUAUCCAUCAAGGUAGACUGAAUCUCCAACGCUGCAACAUAGCCUCUCGGAACUAUCUCCAAAAAUAGCUCGCGAAGAUCCUCGGCUAACUCCUUUGGUAACUCUCCGGUCAUGAGAGUGUUAACAUGGCUCUUGCGGCUCAAUGCAUCGGCUACUACGUUAGCCUUUCCGGGGUGAUAAUGCAAUCUCAUAUCAUAAUCCUUGAUGAGCUCCAACCAUCUCCUUUGCCUGAGAUUCAACUCCUUCUGUGUGAAAAUGUACUUCAAACUCUUAUGAUCGGUGUACACCUCACAAUGGUUUCCGAUGAGAAAAUGUCUCCAUGUCUUCAAUGCAUGCACUACGGCUGCUAACUCCAAAUCAUGUGUAGCAUAAUUCAACUCAUGGGGCUUAAGAUGUCAUGAGGCAUACGAAACAACUCUUCCCUCAUGCAUAAGCACUGCUCCAAGUCCUCGACGAGAAGCGUCGCAAUAUACUUCAUAAUCCUUGCGCUGAUCUAGCAGAAUCAACACCGGUGAUGUAACCAAAUGUUUCUUCAACUCCUGAAAACUGGCCUCACAUUCCUUAGUCCAUUUGAACUUGGUGUCCUUCUUCAACAACUCUGUCAUGGGCUUCGCAAUCUUCGAAAAAAAUUCAAUGAACCUCCGGUAGUAUCCUGCGAGUCCAAGAAAACUCCGGAUCUCUCCAACUGUCGUUGGGGCUUCCCAUUUUGUCACAGUGACAAGUUUGGUGGGGUCUACUGCUAUUCCUUCUCCGGAUAUAACAUGUCCGAGAAAUCCAACUUCCUUCAACCAAAACUCACAUUUGUUGAAUUUGGCAUAUAACUGAUGUUCUAUGAGCUUCUCGAGUACCAAACGCAAAUGUUCCUUAUGCUCCUCUUCAUUCUUUGAGUAGAUAUGAAUAUCAUCAAUGAACACCACGACAAACUUAUCCAGAAACUCCAUAAACACCUUGUUCCUCAUGUUCAUGAAAUAGGCAGGUGCGUUAGUCAGACCAAAUGACAUAACGGUAUACUCAUACAGCCUGUACCUGCUGGUAAAAGCUGUCUUUGAUAUAUCCUAUUAUCGAAUCUUCAGCUGGUGGUAUCCUGAUCGCAGAUUGAUCUUGGAGAAUACCUUAGCUCCUUGCAAUUGGUCAAAUGAGUCAUUGAUCAUCGGUAGUGGAUACUUGUUCUUGAUUGUUACUUCAUUCAAACCUCGAUAAUCAACAACCAUCCUUAAUGAUCCAUCCUUCUUCUCCACUAGAAGCACUAGCGAUCCCCAAGGUGAAGAACUUGGGCGAAUGAAACCUUUAUCCAAUAGUUCCUUAAUCUGCUUCUUAAUUUCUUCCAAAUCCUGUGCGGGCAUCCUGUAUGGUCUUUUAGAUAUCGGCAUUGUGCCUGGAAAAAGCUCAAUCAAAAACUCAAUGUCUCUAUCCGGUGGCAUGCCUAGCAACUCUUCUGGAAAUACGUAAGGAAAAUCCUUCACCACUGGUACUUCCUCCUGUACAACUCAUGUUAAGGAAUUUACUUGAGUCCUCUUUGGCUCGUGCCGGGAUACAUACUUGAUCCUUCUUCCUUCUGGGGUGGUAAGCAAAAUCGACUUACUGGCGCAUUCAAUGUUCCCUUCAUACUUCGAUAACCAAUCCAUGCCUAAUAUCACAUCUAGUCCUUGCCACUCCAAUACUAUUAGGUCAGAGGGAAACACAUAGUUACCAAUCCUUAAUGGUAACCGAUCACACCAUAGACUAGCCAUAUACGCUGCUCCUGGCGAGGUUACUAUUAUGGGUGACCUAAGGGCUUGGGUUGGCAGUUUAUACUUAUCCACAAAUCCCCAUGAUAUGUAUGAAUGCGAUGCACCAGUAUCAAAAAGAACGAUUAGAGUAAAUGACUUAACCAAAAACUUACCAAUUACUGCAUCUGGCUAGGCUCAACCUCCUCCACGCUAAUGUGGUUUACCUGUCCCUUGUUGAAAGGGUUAGGCUUCUUCCCAGAGCUCCCAUUGCCAUUUCCAUUCUUAGCUUCAGGACAUUCAUUGGCAUAAUGUCCAGUCUUCUGGCACUUGUAGCAAGUGACGUGGCUCAGAUCCUUCUUGGCUAGGGUUGGUGGGUUGGUACGGUUCUGACCGUUGCUUACUCCAUUACCAUUCCCAUUCCAAGGGCCACUAUGGUUGUGCGAACUCCCUCCUCCGUGGGUAUGCUGAAAAGGUCCUCCCAUGUUCGGGGUAAAACGAGGCUUCUGCUGAGCUCCAGAAUUGUACUUCCCUUGUCCAUACUUCCUCUUGCGGCUGUCAAUCUGCUGCUGCUUCCCUUCAAUCAUGAGAGCUCGGUCUACCAACUCCUGGUAGUUGUUGGAGGUUGCUACCAUCAACUGAAUGCUCAGCUCAUCAUUCAGUCCUUCCAGAAACUUCUCCUACUUAGCUGCAUCCGUAGCAACGUCAUCUGGUGCAUAACGUGCUAGCUUACUAAAGUCAUCCACAUACUGGCCAACAGUACGUCCUCCUUGGCGUAAGUUGUGAAACUCACGCUUCUUCAUGGCCAUAGCUCCUGCUAAAACAUGGGCAGUAUGGAAAGCUUACUGAAACUGAUCCCAUGUGACAGUGUCGAUAGGAUAAGUGGCUGUGAAAUUCUCCCACCAUGAUGUUGCGGGUCCAUCAAGCUGGUGUGCGGCAAAGCGCACUCUUUCCGCAUCCGUGCAUCCUGCAGUGGUCAACUCCCUUCCAAUCUUGCGGAGACAAUCAUAUGCAACAAUCGGCUCAGUGCUACUGGAAAACACCGGCGGAUUUAGCCUAAGAAAAUGGGCUAAGCGAUCAACAGGUGGUGGUGGUGGUGGGUUUUGUUGUUGUUGUUCCCCUGAUUCUGAUUCUGGACUAGUAACUUCAUCAAUGCAUUCUGCUGCUGGAUCAACUGAGUGAGCUCCGAUGGGAAAGCAAAUCCAUUGUCACGCCUCGGAGGCAUCUGAUAGGUUUAGAAAAGAUGAGGAAAUAGAAUAGAAAGAGGUCUAGAGGGAAAACACUACCCAUAUGCACAUGAGACAAAAGCAAACAAUAUCACUCCAAUCAAUUCAAACAAGGGCAUAAAAUCGGUCUAACUAUCGUUACAAAAGUGCUUGGACUAUACUAUAUACAUGGGGAAAUACUACUAUUGUUAUGAUGGUCGACUAGAAAAAUUGAUCCGUCGAAGACUCCAUGAUAUCUGCUCCAGCUUCAUCAACAAAGUCAUCAUCACUAUCGUCCGGGUCCGAGUCGGUGUCGUCGAUGAUGAUGUAGUUCUUCAGGCAAGUGCAAUCAUCGUCUUCUCCUCCUGGCACGGGGUCUCCCAUAAAAACUCCGAUCUUCUUUACGAGGUCGUCAUUCUUCUCCAAAAGUGUUACAAUCUCCUCCUCACAUCCAUCACGUGUAGACAUGAGUUCUUGCUCUAGUUCUAUGAUCUUGGUCAUAGCCUUCUUCAGAUCUAUCAUGCCUGCGCACAUCUGGUUCUCCUGGCGAUGAAUGUGCUAGUUUAACUCUUGGAUGAAAGUUGCAAUUGAUCUAUCCUUCCAGGUGCUGAUCAUCUCCCAUUGCUCAUCUCGGCGCCCACAAAUCUGGUAAAUAGUAUCCUUGGGAUCCUUGUGGUAAACUUCUCCAAUGCGUCCCAUGGUGAUGUGGGUUGCCAUACUCUUUCCUAAACUCCAGGUUGGUGCAUCAAAAGAAAACUCUAUGGGCUCAGUGACGGGCAUGAAUGUCCUUCCUGGAACUUGAAGUUGAAUCAUCCAAUGCUCCUCUUCUGGUAAAGUGGCGAUGUAGGUCCCGGUGAAGCUUGGUACUCCGAUGUUUAGGUACUUAGUGACUUCCUUCAAGUGGCAUCCAAAGUGUGUAUCUUCAUUCGGUUGCGUGAACUUGUUCCUUGCAUCCGCCAUCCUAAAAUAGUAGAAAAGAUGAGGAGUCAGAAAUGAGAAGAGAGAGUAGUGAUCUAGGGCUUUAGCUUAGUGGUCGUGUCCUACAGUCGGCGUGUGCUCUGAUACCAUCUUGUAGUGACCAGACCUCAAACGGUCUGAUCUCUAUGCAUCAGUGUCAUCCCUGGAUCGGUAAUGCUAACACGCACAGUACUUGAAGGAUUUAUAACAAAGUAGCAAUCACACACUUAUUACAUCGAAUGUCUCAAAAGAGAACUUAUUACAAUAAAUAUGGCUUAAGGCCAUUUAAUAACGAUAACAACGGAAGACUUGGAAGAUAAGCGAGUCCAUCAACUCCAACGGCAUCACUAAGUAUAAGACCACGACCUAAGGCAUCCUACUCAUCGUCUGAAAAGUCUGCAACAUGAACGUUGCAGCCUAAAAACGGGUCAGCACAUGGAAUACGCUGGCAAUGUAACACAUAGAGAGUAAUGAACAGAAUAAUGCUAUCACUACAUGCAUAUAUGGCUGGUGGAAAGCUCUAUGGUUACAGUUUUGCAUAAAGCUAAUUUUUCCCUACUUCAAAGGAAUAAAUUUUAUUUAACUAUCAUGGUGGUUGUUAAACAUUAAGAAGGUUCACCCAACUCAAUCCCAAUUAAGCAUCAUCAUUAACCCAACAAGAUUAAAUUAAGUAACACGAUGAGAUUCACAUGAAAAUCCAGGUACUAGAUACUCAAAACGUCCAUAACCGGGGACACAGCUAACCAUGAUUAGUUUGUACACUCUGCAGAGGUUUGCGCACUUUUCCCCACAAGACUCGAUCUCCUCCGUUGGAUUUCUCGCACUACAAGGUGUUUGAGAAACGGAUGACUGAGACACAAUCUUUCAGAAGCGUUAGCACCUUACGAUGGGUAGACCAUACACCUACAUCCCCUACAUCUGCUAGUCUACCACUAUAAGAGGUCACAUAACUUACUCAACUAUGCCAGAGCCCAUAUUGGCAUGUGGCUGCACACGGAAGUUUCUACCAUGAAUAAUCUCAUGAUCCCUUUGAGCCUGGGUGGCGGUCCAUAGGAAAAUCACACGGUACCCCGGGAUUUCCAAAAAUACAAGCAACACUGGGUUCCCCAGGUGCCUCAGUCCACCCAGAUGUGAAUUUAAGUUGCCACCUUAAAUAAACCAUUAAUUAACAAUCUCACAUCUAUCAUGGAUACACUCACCCAAUCCACGUCUACUAGCAUAGCAUAGCAAUAGAAGUAAACGUAGAAGUAACUCCCAAAGGUUUGAUAAUAAAACAGGUAAUAGGUACUACCUCAUCUACUUCCCAAAACCCACAUAUUAAUCACAUCCUAACCAUGCAAUUGUUUGAGGAUUGAUCUAAUGCAAUAAAACUGGGUAGUAAGGAGGUAUGAUCAAAGUGUUACUUGCCUUGCUGAUGAUCCGUGAAACCUAGAGACUGUAGUAGCACGCGGCGCACUCCGGGUACUCUAUCGUAAACAAACAAGUAUACAAUAAGCACUCAUCUAGUGCACAGGUAAAACUCAAAUAAAAGAUCUAACCAGAAAGUUCAACUUAAGAACUCCGGUUUGCAAAAAGAAUAAAAUCAAACGAAGCAACAAAAAUCAAACGGCGGAAGAAACAGGCUUCGUCUUACUAAUCUGGACCUAAGUCAAAAUUUUACAGUAGCAAAAACUUGUUUGAGUUGGUUAAACAGAGAGAGAAUUUCGAGACGAAACUCUAGGCGCUUGACUCGCCUGAUUCCGAUAAACGAACGAAAAGUUAUGCUAGAACGAAAAUCGGAUCAGAAAUUGCGAUCAGAAAUAAUCACGGAAAAUACGAGAAAAAGAAAACGUACGAACAGGCUAAGGAACGAAUGUUCGUUGUCUGCGGCUAAACAACGAAAACCGUUCGUCAAAACGAACGUACGGACGAACGUCCGCAAAAUACACUAAACCAGGAAAACAAUAAAACCGCUCUAAAAAAAUAAAAAAACGCAUCUCGGUUUUCGAAUAAAAACCAAACGGUUUUUUAGGUAAAACCGACGACUACCUCGGGACACGUGACGGCGGCGGCGGCGGGCAUCUCCGGCGAGGCGGCAUCUAGAGGCGGCGGUGGGCGGCGGGGUCAUCGUCCAGCGGCGACGGCGAGACGGUGCGGCGGCGGCGCGGGGUCGCGGCGGCGGCGAUGGCGGCGGUGGCGUGGGUUAGGGUGAGGGUCAGGGUUUCGGUGGCGGUGGCGGGUGGGUUGGCGGUGGGCUGUGGGGGUCGGGGGCGCGGCUUAAAAGGCCCGGGGCGGCAGGAGUCCGGGUCGCCCACGGCCCGUUAGGUCGGCUAGUUUUUUUAAAAGAAAAACCGGAUGCAGAAAAAUAAAUAAAAGAAAUACUAAACAGACUCAAAAAAUCCUGAAAUAAAUUUUCCCCGUCCUCUAAAAAUAAGCCAGACAAGAUGAACAUUUAUUUGGGGCCUAAAUGCAGUCUUGAAAAACACGCAUUUGUCCUAAAUUCAAACAAAAUAGCGAAAAACUCUGAAAUAAAAUCUUAUUUGACUUUUUUAUUAAAUCCUCAAUACUUCUUUAUUUUGGAAAUUCAUUUUAUUCCCUCUCUCUUAUUUUUGUAUUAGAAAUAUUUGAAGACAAAAUAAAUAAAAUCAAAUGAUCCUAUUUUCAAAUUUUGAGAAAACUCAAAUAUGAAAAUAACGAAAUCCCCAACUCUCUCCGUGGGUCAUUGAGUUGCGUAGAAUUUCUAGGAUCAAGGCAAAAAUGCAAUAAAAUAUGAUAUGCAAUGAUGAUCUGUUGUAUAACAUUCCAAAUUGAAAAUUUGGGAUGUUACAAACUUAUUUUUGGAACAAAAGCAAUCCAGGGAACUUGGAGUGCAAGCCAGGGAAGCUCCGAGGAGGCCACGAGGGUGGGGGCACCCCCCCCCUACUGGGCGCGCCCCCUGUCUCGUAGACCCCUCAAGCGUCCCUCGACCGACUUCUUUCGCCUAUAUAUUCCCAUAUACCCUAAAAACAUCGAAACAGAAGAUAGAUCGGGAGUUCCGCCGCCGCAAGCCUCUGUAGCCACCAAAAACCAAUCGGGACCCUGUUCCAGUACCCUGCCAGAGGGGGGAUCCCUCACCGAUGGCCAUCUUCAUCAUCCCGACGCUCUCCAUGACGAGGAGGGAGUAGUUCACCCGAGGGGCUGAGGGUAUGUACCAGUAGCUAUGUGUUUGAUCUCUCUCGCUCGUGUUCUCUCUAUGGAACGAUCUUGAUGUAUCGCGAGCUUUGCUAUUAUAGUUGGAUCUUAUGAUGUUUCUCCCCCUCUACUCUCUUGUAAUGGAUUGAGUUUUCCCUUUGAAGUUAUCUUAUCGGAUUGAGUCUUUAAGGAUUUGAGAACACUUGAUGUAUGUCUUGUCGUGCUUAUCUAUGGUGACAAUGGGAUAUCACGUGAUGCACUUGAUGUAUGUUUUGGUGAUCAACUUGUGGGUUCCUCCCAUGAACCUAUGCAUAGGGGUUGGCACACCUUUUCGUCUUGACUCUCUGGUAGAAACUUUGGGGCACUCUUUGAAGUACUUUGUGUUGGUUGAAUAGAUGAAUCUGAGAUUGUGUGAUGCAUAUCGUGUAAUCAUGCCCACGGAUACUUGAGGUGACAAUGGAGUAUCUAGGUGACAUUAGGGUUUUGGUUGAUUUGUGUCUUAAGGUGUUAUUCUAGUAUGAACUCUACGAUAGAUCGAACGGAAAGAAUAGCUUCAUGUUCUUUUAUUACGGACUCUUGAAUAGAUAGAACAGAAAGGAUAACUUUGAGGUGGUUUCGUACCCUACCAUAAUAUCUUUGUUUGUUCUCCGCUAUUAGUGUCUUUGGAGUGACUCUUUGUUGCAUGUUGAGGGAUAGUUAUAUGAUUCAAUUAUGUUAUUAUUGUUGAGAGAACUUGCACUAGUGAAAGUAUGAACCUUAGGCCUUGUUUCCUACCAUUGCAAUACCGUUUACGCUCACUUUUAUCAUUAGUUACCUUGCUGUUUUUAUAAUUUCAGAUUACAAAUACCUAUAUCUACCAUCCAUAUUGCACUUGUAUCACCAUCUCUUCGCCGAACUAGUGCACCUAUACAAUUUACCACUGUAUUGGGUGUGUUGGGGACACAAGAAACUCUUUGCUAUUUGGUUGCAGGGUUGUUUGAGAGAGACCAUCUUCAUCCUACGCCUCCCACGGAUUGAUAAACCUUAGGUCAUCCACUUGCACUAGUAGAAAAGGGGGCAUUGGUCCAGGCCGGAUCAGCCCAUUAGUCCCAGUUCAGUCCAGAACCGAGACCAAUGGUGGCAUUGGACCCGGUUCGUGAGCCCCUGGGGCUGGCCGGGCCACAUGGGCCAUUGGUCCCGGUUCGUCUGGACCUUUUGGUCCCGGUUGGUGGGACGAACCGGAACCAAUGGGCCUCGCUCCUGGCCCACCACCAUUGGUCCCGGUUGGUGCCACGAACCGGGACCAAAGGCUGCCCUUUAGUCCCAGUUCAUGCCACCAACCGGGACCAAUGAGGUGCCUAUAUAUACCCCCUUGCGUAAGAGCAGAGCACACUGCUCUAUUUUUUCUGGCCGCCGAGGGGGAGAGGGCUUGGUGGUGCUCUAGCUCACCUCCUAUGCACACAAGGUGUUCGAUGGAAUGCCCGAGCCACACUACUUAAGCUUUGUCCUCUCCAAGCUCGACCUCCAAGCUCCAUUUUCCUCAAUAUUUGUCUAGGUUUAGCGGCCCGUCACGCCCCGUCCCCGUCUUCACCGCCGUCGAUCACCCACGCCGAUAUCAUCGUCGGCACCACCGUGGUGAGCCUCUUGUUCUUAUCUUCUUUCUGAAAGGAAAAAUAUUCUUACUUGUAUGUUUAGAUAGAUACUUGUAUUAUUUCUUACUUUUAUUAUUGCAUCUUAUAUAGUGCGAUAGUUUUGGUAUCCGCCCCCGUCGGCCCUCGUCCUGUCUAUGAUUCGGAUCUGGUAUAUAUAUUAUAUUUUCAUAACUAUUGGUUCAUUUAUUGUUUAUGAAAAUUAUGCCGACCAACGUGACAUAGAUUUUAUUUAUCUAGGAGGUUGUUGAACCGGAAAUUCCAACCGACCCUGUUGUUGAGAGGUCAAAUUUAGUUGAAGAAGAAAACAAUUUCUUGAAGGAAAAAAUAAGAAAAAUUGAGGAGGAGAAGAUGAUAUUGGAGUUGCAUGUUGCGGAUGUCGUCGAUGAUCACAAGAUCAAGAUGGAUGCAAUGCGCUUGAAGAUUAGAAAGAUUAGAAAAUAUGCCAUUCAUACCGAGGCUUGGUAUCAUUAUGCCGUUGGAUCAGUUGUUACCUUGGUUGCGAUUAUGAUCGCUUUGUUUUCGCAUUGAAAUGUUUUACAUAGUUUCAAUGUAUGGUUUAAUUAAUUUAGAUGCUCUGCAGAGCUUUAUGUUGUUCUUAAUGAUUUUCACUUGAAGAUGAGAACUAUGUAUGUACUUUGGUUUUAAUGUCAUGAUGAACUUCUAUUAAUUUGGUCACUUAGUUAUCUAUUCGUGAUGUUCUGUAAUGAUUUUUGACACACUUAAUUAUAUAUAAUGCACGCAGAUGAAUCGGCAAUGGAUGUACGGUAACAGACACACCUCCGAGUACAUUAAGGGCGUGCAUGAUUUUCUCGAAGUGGCUGAGGCAAACAAGCAGAAUGGUUUUAUGUGUUGUCCAUGCCCUAUAUGUGGGAAUACAAAGUCUUACUCUGACCGGAAAAUCCUUCACACCCACCUGCUUUACAAGGGUUUCAUGCCACACUAUAAUGUUUGGACGAGGCAUGGAGAAAUAGGGGUUAUGAUGGAAGAUGGUGAAGAAGAAGAGUACGAUGACAACUAUGUGCCCCCUGAAUACGGUGAUGCUACUGAACAUCAAGAGGAACCAGACGAUGUGCACGAUGAUGCUACAACGGGCGAAGCUGCUGAAGAUCAAGAGGAACCAGACGAUGUGCCCGAUGAUGAUGAUCUCCGUCGGGUCAUUGUCGAUGCAAGGACGCAAUGCGAAAGUCAAAAGGAGAAGCUGAAGUUCGAUCGCGUGUUAGAGGAUCACAAAAAAGGGUUGUACCCCAAUUGCGAAGAUGGCAACACAAAGCUCGGUACCGUACUGGAAUUGCUGCAGUGGAAGGAGAGAAUGUUGUGCCAGACAAAGGAUUUGAGAAGCUACUGAAAAUAUUGAAGAAGAAGCUUCCAAAGGAUAACGAGUUGCCCAACGGUACAUACGCAGCAAAGAAGGUCGUAUGCCCUCUAGGAUUGGAGGUGCAGAAGAUACAUGCAUGCCCUAAUGACUGCAUCCUCUACCGCGGUGCAUAUAAGGAUCUGAACGCAUGCCCGGUAUGCGGUGCAUUACGGUAUAAGAUCAGAUGAGAUGACCCUGGUGAUGUUGACAGCGACCCCCCAGGAAGAGGGAUCCUGCGAAGGUGAUGUGGUAUGCUCCUAUAAUACCACGGUUGAACCGUCUGUUCAGAAACGGAGAGCAUGCCAAGUUGAUGCGAUGGCACAGUGAGGACCGUAAGAAAGACGGGAAGUUGAGAGCACCCGCUGACGGGUCGCAAUGGAGAGAAAUCGAGAGAAAGUACUGGGCUGAGUUUGCACGUGACCCAAGGAACGUAUGUUUUGCUUUAAGCGCGGAUGGCAUUAAUCCUUUCGGGGAGCAGAGCAGCAAUCACAGCACCUGGCCCGUGACUCUAUGUAUGUAUAACCUUCCUCCUUGGAUGUGCAUGAAGCGGAAGUUCAUUAUGAUGCCAGUUCUCAUCCAAGGCUCUAAGCAACCCGGCAACGACAUUGAUGUGUACCUAAGGCCAUUAGUUGAAGAACUUUUACAGCUGUGGAAUGGAAAUGGUGUACGUACGUGGGAUGAGCACAAACAGGAGUAAUUUGACCUAAAGGCGUUGCUAUUCGUGACCAUCAACGAUUGGCCCGCUCUCAGUAACCUUUUAGGACAGACAAACAAGGGAUACCACGCAUGCACGCACUGUUUACUUGACACCGAAAGUAUAUACCUGGGAAGCUGCAGGAAGAAUGUGUACCUGGGCCAUCAUUGAUUUCUUCCGACCAACCAUCAAUGUCGAAAGAAAGGCAAGCAUUUCAAAGGCGAGGCAGAUCACCGGAAGAAACCCGCCAUGCGUACCGGUGAUCACGUACUUGCUAUGGUCAAUGAUUUACACGUAAUCUUUGGAAAGGGUCCCGGCGCACUAGCUGUUCCGAAUGACGCUGGGGGACACGCACCCAUGUGGAAGAAGAAAUCUAUAUUUUGGGACCUACCCUACUGGAAAGACCUAGAGGUCCGCUCUUCAAUUGACGUCACUACAAGAAAUAUGUCAACUUGUGACCUUCUGUCAGUGACCCUAGAAGAAUUGGUCAUAGAUCUAUGACCAUUUCAGACCAAUUGGUCAAAAGCUGUUCGGGGGGCUCCAAACCCUAAACCAUUACGACCAUUUUGGUCAGAAAGGUCGUAAUUUCCUUACACGAAAUGGUCAUAAAGCAAACAGCGCUAGUCCGCUGCCUUAUUUCAUAGCCUUGUAAAUUGUGGUGGGUUGCGAUGACUAGGCGCCAUCUCAUCAGUUUUACCUAUGUGUCAUGUCCAUGUGGCAUUUUUUGCCCUAGGUUGUGAAGCAACCUAUAUUUCUGCAAUUCCCAAAAUUCCCAAACAAAUCUCAUAAAUUCUUUGGGUCAUAUCUUCGUCAAAUAUGUAAAAACCUUCCUUUCCUAGUUCAAAAAUAUUCAUUUUCCUAUUCUGUUCAGAACAAUAGUUUGUGAAGGAAGUACCACUUUGGCAUGUCCAAAUAGUAUCCAUUUUCUACAGUGCUUUCCUAUGCCCAAAUAACCAUCCUCCACCAAAUGCCAGCUCAAUCCAUUCAUUAUUUUGAGCCGAGCUUCAACAUUCGUAUUUAUGUCCAGUGUGGUGGUUUGCAAAGCAAGUACCACCUAGGCUCCUCCUUUUGAGCUGAAAAUUUGUGAAGACGGUCUUCUUAGUAACUGAUCAUCCUCAGCCAAAACUCACGGCCAUUAGCCAUGUACAUUUCCCGUACCGCUAAUCAAACACUUGGCUGCUUAUUCAUGUUUAAGCAUCGAUCGGUCUCCUCGUGGAAAUCUUAUGUUGUGAUUUUCUUCCUAGCACCUACCUGGGGAGUUCCCAAACCACUAGACAUGCCUAGGCCACCCAGAACACAUGGCAACGCCAUGGUCACGCGGUGACCACGCGGCGGGCAUGCGAGCUUACGCGCUCUAGAGUUGGGGCCCUCGGCCACCGUCGAAACCUCGAUGUCUCUCCAUCAAACCAUGUAUUUCUGAUUAAAUAGGUACUUAUGUAACUAGAAAUGAUUUUUGGAAAAAAUAAAUAGCAAACUAUGAGGCAGCUGCAGUUCAAAUUUGACCCGCUUCCAACUGAAUCGGCGGAAAUUUGUCUUUUUCACGAGAGGUGGAUCAAAACUUUUUACACCCAACCAUUUGGUCAAUUGUGCAUUAAAUAUGUCCUAGUAUUUUAGAAAAAUGAUUUGGUCCAAUUUUGCAACAAUUAUUUGGUAGUUCCUUCACAAAAAACCUCCUUUCGGGCACUCGAAAAAUGAAAAAUGGUUUUUUCGUCCAAAGAAAAUGAAAACUUCCUUAGGCAACAUUGUUUGCCAUUCCAAUAUGCACCCUUGUGCACAAUAUGAGAUCAUUUGAACAAACUAUGCCACGAAUGUGGCCAUAAGUUUGAUCAUUUGGCUUGAAAGCCAUUGAUCUCCACACGUGAUAGCUCGUUUCUGAGAACACUUUUUUAAAAUAAUUGCCGUAUUACAAGUUUGUUAUUUUUUCUGGGAACUUGGCCACAUAUAAUGACACAAUGCGAAGGUUUCCCAAUUUUUUGAUUUUUUUUUGAAUUUUUUAUGCCCGUUUCAAAAUGCGGUCAAAACAGCGGGAAUGACCGUUCCUAGCUAGUUGUUGAAUCUUGGAAUUGUUUUGGUGUUUUUCUGAUUAAAUAGGUACUUAUAUACCUAGAAAUGAUUUUUGGAAAAAAUAAAUAGCAAACUAUGAGGCAGCUGCAGUUC